AUUGGCUGGAUCAUCAUAAUGGGCGGGGGGUUACUUCCACGGGGUUCAACCCACUCAGCUAAGAAGGAAGACCUGGAGCGAGUUAGGAAUUGUUUGCUGCGGAUGGAACAACCCGGGGUCGGGCUCUGCUGCACCCUGGCGGCAUGUUGCAGUCAUUGCGUCACUGGCGCCUGCCCCUGCCUCCUCGCGGGCCGGCCUAGUUCUACCUCCUUCACGCUGGAUGCCCUGGGGUUUAAGAGAUGACAAAUCGGCUUUCUCCCAGGACGAGGAGUCUCCUCUCUAAUGAUUGACUGGUCGUUAUCAGCGACUUUUUGAACUGUUCCAGUAAGAGGGAAUUACUGCUGCAAGGAGGCUAUUCUCAUUUUUUCAUUGCUGGAACUAUUAAAAACUUACCCAGGGUAAUAAUUAUAGUAAUAAUAAUAACCAGCACCAACUUCUCCUGUCAAUCCAGUUGCUCCUCAGGACUUAUUGAGCAUUUAUUAUGUGCUAGAUAGUCUUCUAAGCACUUAGCACAUACUGACUCAUUUAAUUGCCACAGUAAUCUUAUAAGAUAGGUGAUCUAGUGAAUCCCAUUUUAUGGAUGAAAAAACAGAGGCACUGGAGAGGUUAAUAAACUUGACCAAAGGAUGAUGACUAAUGCCUCCAAAAUCUUUAAUAAUAUCGCCAUUUCCUAAAGUUAAAUGGAACAUUGUUUUCUCUUCACAUAACCCCCUCAUGUCCCCAAAUAUUAUCUGGGUUAAACGCUUGUGGGUUUUCUUAAUUUUUAUUAGUAUUUCAUAUUUCUUCAUUUUUCAAGGUUUCCUAGUUCUCUGGGUCACUGUCCCCUGGGCAGGCUAGAGUUGAUUAGUGUUGUUCUUACUAGGUGGGGGCCCCUAGAUCUGAACACCGUUUCCACUGUCAUCUGACCAGUCCAUAUCCUCAUUUGAAUAAUGUGCUUCUAGCGAUGCAGACUAACUGUAAUUAUGAAAAUAGUUAACCCUUAUUGAAUUUGUUUAUGUACCAGGCCCUGUGCCAAGCGCUUUCUGGAAGAACCACAUGUGAAAGGUAUUUUUGUAUCUUUUUUUGUACAUGAAUCAUUGGAAGCUUAAAGAAGUUGGUUAACUUGGCCAAGGACACAGUGAUCCAAGCCCAGGGCACUUGGCCAUGAGGAUGUAUUAUAUUUCCUUCCCUUUGCACCCACCUAUGACACACGUCUGACCAUUUAAGCCUUUGGCUUCAGCAAGAUGGAAAGCAAUUUGUCUUCUCCUAAAGAUCAAAGCCUGCUCUGACCCUGUGGGAAAUACACUUACCAUUUACCCAGACAAUUACUUUCCCCAGGUUCCAGGAGGUGCCAAAUCUCCCCUUUUUCUCCUUCCAGACAAUCACAGCCCUCAUUAAGCCCUUCCUGUUUGCACUCUCAUUUCCUACAUAAAUUCCUAUCAAGGUUACCAGCCCUCCCCAGUUUAUUCCUUUCUCUCUUUCCCAGCCAUGGCCUCUCAGCCACCAGUCACCUCUUCCCCCAACCCCCUGACCUCCCACUUCUCUUCUCAAUUCAACUGCUCUUCAGGAUUUCUGGUUGCACUACCUCUGGAGACAAGACUCUAGCAUUUGUUCUUUAUAGUAAUGUCAUUGGAUUGAGGAUACUUGUUUGCAGAGGAGGCAAGAAUGCGUUGUUCCGUUUUUGAAUUCCACACAUCUAAUAUGGAGCCUGAGCCACAGGGCUCAAAAUGUUAAGUAAACAAAUGAAUGGGAAAUUAAUAAGAAGAAUGCAUUGGCAAGACCGUGAAGAAGGCCUGCCAUGGGAAGCUUUGGGAAGAAGCCAGCUGCCAUGUUGUGAGAACUCUCAAGCAGCUGUGUGGAGAGAUCCAUGUGGUGAGGAACUGAAGCCUCCUACCCACCAUCAAGUCAGUGGCUCACUACUGUUGCAGUGAAUUCUCCAGCCCAUGAAGACUUUAGAUGAUUUACCCAACAUCUUGAUUAUAGCCUCAUGGAUUCCCUGAGCCAGAACAACCCAGCUAAGCCUCUCCUGAAUUCCUUACCUACAGAAACUGUGAGAUAAUAAAUAUUUAUUC
Molecule: long non-coding RNA, 2051 nt
Filed under: Homo sapiens (human)
Lineage: Eukaryota; Metazoa; Chordata; Mammalia; Primates; Hominidae
Description: HSALNT0296110
Source: RNAcentral